Long non-coding RNA from Ornithodoros turicata, 556 nucleotides. RefSeq lists it as uncharacterized. The transcript has 4 exons. Lineage: Eukaryota; Metazoa; Arthropoda; Arachnida; Ixodida; Argasidae. The record is from RefSeq and is a predicted model, not a curated record.
UUAUAAAUUAUGAUGACGCUUGCUGUGGAAUAAGAAAUUUAUAUUUCAGAUGAAUUGUUGGAGGACGUAUUAACCCCAUUGCCAGGGACCCCAGUGGAGAAACAAGCAAGGUCUCCCUGUCCUUCACAAUCUUCUGGUUUUAAAAAAGCACAGAAUAGCUGCCAAUUGGAACCCGUCGGCCAAAUCAUUCCACAAAGAGAUUUUCAAACACAAGUACUGCGGACAAUUCAGAUGAUAAGACUGACUCGGCAGGAACAAGGCGACCUGCUUCUCGAAAUCUCCAGGCAGCUCUCACACUCAGAGCCCGUUGCAGCAGUACCCCCCAUGGUGCCGUGCCGAUUUAUAUCGACAAAUGCUUUGGAAGACUUCAAUGACUCCUUGAGCAGUGAUAUGGAAACACGCUUGGUUAGGGAGCUGGGACAGCUGGGUGGAACAGAAGUCAAGCAGGCUACACGGAAGGUCCUCGAGUAUCUCCUCAGUGACACUGUUGCAGCCGAGUUCAGCUGGAUCGGUCAGAAAGGCAAAAAGAAGUUCGCCCUCCUGAAGUUACCACAAG